This 253-nucleotide ribosomal RNA is filed under the name uncultured bacterium. Its description in RNAcentral is "partial 16S ribosomal RNA". It matches the Rfam family "Bacterial small subunit ribosomal RNA", at positions 524 to 776 of the family's 1533-position model. The record is from RNAcentral.
UACGGAGGGUGCAAGCGUUGUCCGGAAUCAUUGGGCGUAAAGAGCGCGUAGGCGGCCAGAUAAGUCCGGUGUGAAAGUCAAAGGCUCAACCUUUGAAUGCCGCCGGAAACUGUCUGGCUAGAGUCCGGGAGGGGCGAGUGGAAUUCCUGGUGUAGCGGUGAAAUGCGCAGAUAUCAGGAGGAACACCAGUGGCGAAGGCGGCUCACUGGCCCGGUACUGACGCUGAGGCACGAAAGCGUGGGGAGCAAACAGG